UACGUAGGGUCCGAGCGUUGUCCGGAAUUAUUGGGCGUAAAGGGCUCGUAGGCGGUUUGUUGCGUCGGGAGUGAAAACUUACAGCUUAACUGUGAGCGUGCUUCCGAUACGGGCAGACUUGAGGUAUUCAGGGGAGAACGGAAUUCCUGGUGUAGCGGUGAAAUGCGCAGAUAUCAGGAGGAACACCGGUGGCCAAGGCGGUUCUCUGGGAAUAUCCUGACGCUGAGGAGCGAAAGUGUGGGGAGCGAACAGG
RNAcentral lists this ribosomal RNA (253 nucleotides) under uncultured bacterium. RNAcentral's name for it is "partial 16S ribosomal RNA". It matches the Rfam family "Bacterial small subunit ribosomal RNA", at positions 524 to 776 of the family's 1533-position model. The record is from RNAcentral.